Molecule: ribosomal RNA, 465 nt
Filed under: uncultured bacterium
Lineage: Bacteria
Description: partial 16S ribosomal RNA
Rfam family: Bacterial small subunit ribosomal RNA
Source: RNAcentral
GACGAACGCUGGCGGCGUGCUUAACACAUGCAAGUCGAACGGAAAGGCCCCUUUGGGGGUCCUCGAGUGGCGAACGGGUGAGUAACACGUGAGUAACCUGCCCUUGACUUCGGGAUAACUUCAGGAAACUGGGGCUAAUACCGGAUAGGAAUCCUUGCUGCAUGGUGGGGGUUGGAAAGCUUCGGCGGUUUUGGAUGGACUCGCGGCUUAUCAGCUUGUUGGUGGGGUAGUGGCUUACCAAGGCUUUGACGGGUAGCCGGCCUGAGAGGGCGACCGGCCACAUUGGGACUGAGAUACGGCCCAGACUCCUACGGGAGGCAGCAGUGGGGAAUAUUGCACAAUGGGCGGAAGCCUGAUGCAGCAACGCCGCGGGCGGGAUGACGGCCUUCGGGUUGUAAACCGCUUUCAGCAGGGGCGAAGCUUGUGGUGACGGUACCUGCAGAAGAAGCACCGGCUAACUACGUG